RNAcentral lists this transfer RNA (73 nucleotides) under Sinomonas sp. ASV486. RNAcentral describes it as "tRNA-Ala". It matches the Rfam family "tRNA". From Rfam's summary of the family: Transfer RNA (tRNA) molecules are approximately 80 nucleotides in length. Their secondary structure includes four short double-helical elements and three loops (D, anti-codon, and T loops). RNAcentral also lists the same sequence under 1 other name. Lineage: Bacteria; Bacillati; Actinomycetota; Actinomycetes; Micrococcales; Micrococcaceae. The record is from RNAcentral.
GGGGUCUUAGCUCAGUUGGUAGAGCGCUUCGUUCGCAUCGAAGAGGUCAGGGGUUCGAAUCCCCUAGGCUCCA